Molecule: long non-coding RNA, 1593 nt
Organism: Amaranthus tricolor (Joseph's coat)
Lineage: Eukaryota; Viridiplantae; Streptophyta; Magnoliopsida; Caryophyllales; Amaranthaceae
Exons: 3
Source: RefSeq, a predicted model, not a curated record
CUUUAUUUUCCGUUAUAUAUUUUUCUUUCAUCUAAACUUGUAUAUACCGCUUACCCAGGGUUUCCACUAGGGGUGUUCAAAAAUAUCUGGUUUGGAAAACCCGAUUCGAAAUACCCGGUAUCCGAUUUUUAAAACCGGGUAAAUUACCCGGUUUACAUAAUUCGGAUAAUUCAGGUCGAGUACCCGAUUUUAAAACCGGGUAUUCGGGUCGAAUACGGAUCGCGAAUUUUGGAAACCGGGUACCCGGUAUCCGGGUUUUAUUUUUUUUAUUAUUAUUUUUUUUAUAUAUAAAUUUAUUUUGAAAAGUUUGAAAACCCUAAAUUGGCUAAAUCUAACUUGGGACUUUGGAAAUCACUGUCUUCAUUCUUGCUACUAUUGCUAGCCGUCAUCUGCAUUUCUACUCAUCUUGCUUCUUCUUGAAUCUUCUUCUUCAAGCAGACUCCCAUCUUCUUCAAUCUUGCUCCCGUCAUCUUGCUUCUUCUUCACCAUUCACGAUGAGACGUCGACAAGAAUCUAGACCACUGCCAUUCUUCUUCUUCACCGUUUUUAAUUGGAGAUUUAUUUAGUUCGCGGUUUUCACCAUUUUCGCAGAGGUUUAGCUGGUAAUCUUCAGUUAAAAUAUGGUAGAAUGAAAAAUCAAAUGGUGUGUCAUUGUUGUACAGUACUUGGCGAUAUUGGACAAAAGAACUUGAAGACAAGGCAUGCUUCAUCAAAUAAGGAUCAUCCUACUAAAGGUAAUCUUGCAGAAUUGAUUUUGGUUUGAUUUUUUCUUCCAUAUAUUCUAAUAUGAAUAUUGUGUGACAUGAUCACAUGUUUUGGUGGAUUGGUUUCAAAGUUUCAAAAUAUGUUUGUAACAAUAAACAAACGUUUACAUCUUUACAUAAAGUUGUGGAUGGAGAAAGUCUUUACAUUGGAUAUAAUUCUUCAAUUAAAAUCUAUGGCAAAGGACAAGUAAAACUUCUGUUUACAUCGAGAAAUUAUUUAAUCCUAAAAUAUGUGUAUUUUGCACCCGGUAUUAGUAGAAAUUUUGUUUCUAACCCUAUAUUGAAUUGUGUAGGAUAUAACUUGGUGUUUGAAGCCGAUAGACUUCUUUGACUGAAACUUGAUGAGAUGGAAUUAGUAUGUUUCAUUAUUUGAUAUAUAGUGGCUAUAUCUCGUAUAUAUUAAACUUUAACUCUAUUUUUAAUUUUUAAUAAAUAAAUAAAAUAAAUAAAUAAUACCGAAACUAAAUAAAGUCCUAAUUUAAUUUUCCCAAUAACAGAGUAUUCGGGUCGUAAAUCGUAAUUUCACUAAUUUUUAGUUGCUACUGUCACCUCUCGUCUCUCUCCUCUCCUCAACUUUCUCCGUGCACAGAAGUCUCGAGGCGUUUUCUCAAGGUUAGUAUAUUUUAUUAUUCAUUUAAGGGAAAUUUGACAUGGUAGCAUCGAACUUCAUUAAACGCGAGUAGUAACAUUUUUGUAAGAUUUUUCCAAAUAGUAACAUCUAACAUUUGCAUUUAAGUUUUUCGUAGCCUUAAACACUUAAAAACGUUUGUUUGACCGUUAAAAUAGAUAGUCAAAGCAUGUCACCCCAUCUAAUUUCGAAUUCCACUCC